GAUGCAGCAGGGAUUGAUUUAGUAGAUCUAGUGAAGGCCCGCUAAAUUGAAGGUAGAGCACUCCCCGGUCAACCCUGGUACUCCAGCUGUCCGAGAAGAGUAAGGGAAGUUGACCAGAGAGCGUCUCCCGUCGACACAGCACAGUGAAGACACCGGCGUAAUGAGACACACUUAA
This is a long non-coding RNA of Chelonia mydas (Green sea turtle), 175 nucleotides long. RefSeq lists it as uncharacterized. Lineage: Eukaryota; Metazoa; Chordata; Testudines; Cheloniidae. The record is from RefSeq and is a predicted model, not a curated record. The transcript has 3 exons.